Molecule: ribosomal RNA, 253 nt
Filed under: uncultured bacterium
Lineage: Bacteria
Description: partial 16S ribosomal RNA
Rfam family: Bacterial small subunit ribosomal RNA
Source: RNAcentral
UACAGAGGGUGCAAGCGUUAAUCGGAAUUACUGGGCGUAAAGCGCGCGUAGGCGGUUUGUUAAGUUGAAUGUGAAAGCCCCGGGCUCAACCUGGGAACUGCAUCCAAAACUGGCAAGCUAGAGUACAGUAGAGGGUGGUGGAAUUUCCUGUGUAGCGGUGAAAUGCGUAGAUAUAGGAAGGAACACCAGUGGCGAAGGCGACCACCUGGACUGAUACUGACGCUGAGGUGCGAAAGCGUGGGGAGCAAACAGG